GACGAACGCUGGCGGCGUGCUUAACACAUGCAAGUCGAACGGAAAGGCCCUGCUUUUGUGGGGUGCUCGAGUGGCGAACGGGUGAGUAACACGUGAGUAACCUGCCCUUGACUUUGGGGUAACUUCAGGAAACUGGGGCUAAUACCGGAUAGGAGCUCCUGCUGCAUGGUGGGGGUUGGAAAGUUUCGGCGGUUGGGGAUGGACUCGCGGCUUAUCAGCUUGUUGGUGGGGUAGUGGCUUACCAAGGCUUUGACGGGUAGCCGGCCUGAGGGGGUGACCGGCCACAUUGGGACUGAGAUACGGCCCAGACUCCUACGGGAGGCAGCAGUGGGGAAUAUUGCACAAUGGGCGGAAGCCUGAUGCAGCAACGCCGCGUGCGGGAUGACGGCCUUCGGGUUGUAAACCGCUUUCGCCUGUGACGAAGCGUGAGUGACGGUAAUGGGUAAAGAAGCACCGGCUAACUACGUG
RNAcentral lists this ribosomal RNA (468 nucleotides) under uncultured bacterium. RNAcentral's name for it is "partial 16S ribosomal RNA". It matches the Rfam family "Bacterial small subunit ribosomal RNA", at positions 28 to 507 of the family's 1533-position model. The record is from RNAcentral.